CGAUUAGGGUUCGAUUCUGGCUCAGAACGAACGCUGGCGGCGUGGAUUAGGCAUGCAAGUCGAACGAGAAUCUGAGAGUCCAAGUUUUCGGACAAGGACUUUUGGAGGAAAGUGGCGGAAGGGUGAGUACAACAUGGAUAAUCUACCUUCAAGUUGGGUAUAGCUUUCCGAAAGGAGAGAUAAUCCCGGAUGUGGUGAUCCGGCGCAUGCCGGAGACUCCAAAGGUGGGGACCGCAAGGCCUGCCGCUUGAAGAUGAGUCCGUGCACUAUCAGCUAGUUGGUGAGGUAAUGGCUCACCAAGGCUAUGACGGUUAGCUGGUCUGAGAGGAUGGUCAGCCACACUGGGACUGAGAUACUGCCCAGACUCCUACGGGAGGCUGCAGUCGAGAAUCAUUCGCAAUGGGCGAAAGCCUGACGGUGCGACGUCGCGUGGAGGAUGACGGUCUUCGGAUUGUAAACUCCUGUCAUGUGGGAUAAAUAGCCCGGGUGUGAAUAGCACUUGGGACUGAUAGUACCACAGGAGGAAGAGACGGCUAACUCUGUGCCAGCAGCCGCGGUAAUUCAGAGGUCUCGAGCGUUGUUCGGAUUUACUGGGCGUAAAGGGAGCGUAGGCGGCCGGGUGUGUCGAAUGUGAAAGCCCACAACUCAACUGUGGAAUGGCAUUCGAAACUACCUGGCUAGAGUACUGGAGAGGAGAGCGGAAUUCUUGGUGUAGCGGUGAAAUGCGUAGAUAUCAAGAGGAACACCGGUGGCGAAGGCGGCUCUCUGGACAGAUACUGACGCUGA
Molecule: ribosomal RNA, 786 nt
Filed under: uncultured bacterium
Lineage: Bacteria
Description: bacterial SSU rRNA
Rfam family: Bacterial small subunit ribosomal RNA
Source: RNAcentral